AGCUGUGCAGGGCCCACCCAUGGAUCGUGCCGAGGGGCGGGGCCUGGCCCUUGUGGGGUCUGGUUUUUGAGGUUGUGCUGUCCCCCAAGCUGGGGGGCAAAUUCUGCAGGCUCUGCUGAGUCCUCUCCUUGAGUAAUUUACUGAUAAUUGUUUAUUAAAGGCGUUAUUCCAGCCAUCACCACAGUGGAUCCUUUCAAGGAGCCAAGGCAGGAAUUAUUACUCCCAUUUAACAGAUUCACAAGGAGUUGGAAAAAACGGAACAGGAAGUUUCCACGAACGUUCACCCAGUUUCCCCCAAUGGUAACAUCUUACAUAACUAUAGUGUGAUAUCAAAACCAGGAAAUCGGCCUGGAUACAAUCUACAGAGUUCAUUCAGCUCUAACCAAAAAGGAGAUAUUCUGAAAGACUAAUUGAUAGUAUUUUAAUUAGACCUGCUUGGACAGAAAGGAAAUGUUCCCAGAACAGGGAGCAGGGCUCCAUGGGUCUCCCAGCCCUACAACCCAGAGUUAUUUACUUUUUUAUUUAAGCAGUCUCUACACCCAACAUGGGGCUCAAACUCAUGACCCCCGAGAUCAAGAAUUGCAUGCUCCACUGACUUAGCCAGCCAGGUGCUCCGACAAAGCUGUACUUUUAGAAGAACUUCCUUUACUCACCUGGGUGGCUUAGAACUUCGGCUCGGGUCAUGACCUCACGGUUCGUGAGUUCAAACACCACAUCGGGCUGGCUGCUGUCCACGUGGACCCCGCUUUGGAUCCUCUGUCCCCCUCUCUGCCCCUCUCUGCUUGUGCGUGCUUUCUCUCUCUGUGUCCCUCAAAAUUAGUAAACAUUUUUUUAAAAAGUUCCUUCACCAAGCAUUUUGCAUGUGACAUUGAUUGAUCUGGGAGCUUUGCAUUUCAUUUAAUCUCACAUUCCCAUCCCACAGAUUAGGAAACUGAUGCUCUAGGAGGUGCUCAUUAGGUGACUUUCCAGGGAUCACACAGGGGAAGAGUGACAUGGGAACCCAUGCAGAUCUGUGACUCCAAUCUGUUGAUGUGGGGGAAAAGGAGAAGAAAGAGUAGGAUUCUGUGUACAGCUCGGUCAAGGCUACAAGAUUCUUUCACAUCAAGAAUUUGGUUGAUUUUUAUAGUGGCCUUUAAGGCAAGUGAUGCUAUGAAAUUAAGCAAAUGGAAAGAAAAAAAACAACUAGGCUCAGAUCAAGUGAUUUACUCAAGGUCAACAAGGAAGCAAGAGAAAGAGCUCAUUGGGGUGGGUAGUAAACUGAGAUGGGCUACACGCAUACUCCUCCCACCUUGCCACUCGCCUCGCCACUCGCCACGUCACUCGCCACUCGGUGGGUGGUGAUCUGGCCUGGCUCUUACCUCUGGUGUCACAGGGCUCAGCUGGAAGCCAAAGUCAACUUGUGGAAGGACAACCAAUGACACAAAGCAGGAUUUGGGAAGGCUGGGCAGGUCAGGGAGGGAGCUGUACCGAUGAGUUUGGAGGGGCAGUGAGACUUGGCUAUACCUUUGGCGGGGUGGGCAUUCAGACAGGGGAGGCGGAAGGGAGUGGCUCUGGCAGCCCAUCUGGGUGAGUGUUGCUGAUGGCACCAGAGGAAUGUGAAGGGAGGGAGGCUGUGGAGAGAAAUGAGGCCAGAGAGGUAGCAAGGCCCGUUCACAAAGCACCUUGACCAUGGGCCCAGAAACCUGGCCUCAUCAGAGGGCAGCGGGAGUGAAGGAAGUAGUGGAAACACAACUUCACAAUCUGCAACUGAAGACCCACCUUGUAUUGAUUGGAGGCCUUCCUACCUGGCCUCUGUGUUAGGCAAAACAAUAAAUUUCUUCCUUUGUUUAAGUAGCGGUUCUUGGAGUAUGGACCCUGGACCAGCACCAUUAGACAUGCAGAUUCUUAGACCCCAUCCCAGACCUGCAGACUCAGAAACUCUGAACCACCCAUUUAACUAACUUGAGUUCCAGGCAUAUGUUAUUUGCAGCUCGAAGCCUCAAUUACAGUGGUUAGUGCAUAUUGGAAUCACCUUAAAAAAAUGCUAGUGUCUAAACUUCCACCCUGAGGGCUUCUGAUUGAAUUGGUCUGGACUGGACCCGGCUGUGAAGAUUUUUUAAAGCCCUUCCAAGCUAUUCAAAUGCACGCUUAAGCUCGAGAAGUAGCUCCCAGGGAUCCAGCAGGCCAGUACAAGACUGUGUAGGAGGGGAUGCUCUGUUGGACCAGGGUGGCGGCUGUGGGGAUGGAGGUCAACUGGCCAGCCCUUGGUAACGGAUGGCUGUUUUCAGCUUGGACAAAUGUCUGGGUGGUGGCACCCUUCCUGGGGAUGGGGAACACGAAAAGGACCAUGUUUGAGAUGGAAGACUGUGGGCUGCAGUCUCAGAAAUGAUGAAUUCUGUUCCUUGAAGCUAAAGGGAGCUGUGAAACAUUCAGAGGGAGGGGGCAGGGUGGCAGUUGGAUACGUGCUUGAGUAGCUCCAGGGGCAGAGCAGGACAGAUGCAGAAUAGUGGGUCCUCGGCUGAGAGGGCAAAGGGAAUGGUAUUACCUAACGCUUGCCACCAAGUGAGAAGUGGGCCAGUAAGGAACUGGCCAGGAGGAAGAACCUCCCACAGCAGGCACUGGGAAGGCACUGUCAGGCAGGUGGGAGAGCCUGGAGAGAAUUCAAGAGUCACAGGGAAAAAGGGGUUCAAGAAUGAGGCCCAGGGGCCCAGGGGCGGUGGGGGAGUAUUGAGGGAAAAAGAGCACUGCAAAGUGGUUGUUGGAUUUGGCAACAAGGGAGUCCUGUGACCUCAGUGAGCGUGAGUCAGUGCAGGGGUGUGCUGGGGUGGAAGCUG
This is a long non-coding RNA of Neofelis nebulosa (Clouded leopard), 2813 nucleotides long. RefSeq lists it as uncharacterized. Lineage: Eukaryota; Metazoa; Chordata; Mammalia; Carnivora; Felidae. The transcript is spliced from 3 exons. The record is from RefSeq and is a predicted model, not a curated record.